GUUCGUAACAUGGAAAGGGUUGUUCGUAAUUCUUCACACAAAUUGCAUGCAAAUGAUGAUUGCAGUGUAAAAGUGUGGGUGCAGCGCCAUCAGAAGUAUGUUUUUUACUUCCAAGAUAAUUCUAAUGCCAAUCCAUUUAUUCUGGGUAUACAGACAGAUUGGCAGUUGCAGCAGAUGCUUCGUUAUGGGCAUAGUGGUUCUGUAGCUUCUCAUUCAACAUUU
RNAcentral lists this unclassified non-coding RNA (222 nucleotides) under Hevea brasiliensis (rubber tree). Lineage: Eukaryota; Viridiplantae; Streptophyta; Magnoliopsida; Malpighiales; Euphorbiaceae. The record is from RNAcentral.